GCGCCCGUAGCUCAGUCGGUAGAGCAGCUCCCUUUUAAGGAGAUGGUCGCAGGUUCGAUUCCUGCCGGGCGCACAA
This 76-nucleotide transfer RNA is filed under the name Candidatus Zambryskibacteria bacterium GWB1_40_5. RNAcentral's name for it is "tRNA-Lys". It matches the Rfam family "tRNA". Rfam says of the family: Transfer RNA (tRNA) molecules are approximately 80 nucleotides in length. Their secondary structure includes four short double-helical elements and three loops (D, anti-codon, and T loops). RNAcentral also lists the same sequence under 2 other names. The record is from RNAcentral. Lineage: Bacteria; Candidatus Zambryskiibacteriota.